UUCAUCUUCCGCUUCGUUUCUUCCGUUGCCGGUGACUCUCGUCCAUCGCAACCGCCGUCUCCGUCCUCUCGUUUCUGUCUCUAGAAAACCUCAUAUAUCCUUCCUCUCCAUCAAGAAAAAUUACCCAAUCCACCGCAAUGACCCGACCCGCUUCAUUUCUCCGAUUUCUCUCUCUCCUCUCCCUCCUACUACUCAUCUUCUCUCCCUCUUAUGUUGCUGCUGAUUCCCACUUCGAAGGCUUCGAAGCCGAAGAAGACGACGUCGUAGAGGAAACCAUAGACCAUGACUCCUUUAAACUCACCGAUCUUCCCUUAACUCGGUCCGAUUCACCACUUACCUCAGUCCCAGAGCCUACAUCGGAAAAUUCUGAAGUAAACCCGAGUUCCAACUCCGAUUCGGGUUUCGAGGAUUGAGAAUC
RNAcentral lists this unclassified non-coding RNA (418 nucleotides) under Hevea brasiliensis (rubber tree). The record is from RNAcentral. Lineage: Eukaryota; Viridiplantae; Streptophyta; Magnoliopsida; Malpighiales; Euphorbiaceae.